CUCUAAACGGAUUCCUUUUUCUUAUUGGAGUACAGUAGAAUAUUUUAGUCACAAGAAGAAACCUGCAAAGUGAUGGUAAGAAAACACAACUAUAAAGAGGUGAGGUAUACACACUAUAUAAAAAAGAACACAAAUUGAAGAAUAUUUACGACUGCGUUGCUUUUUGGACUAUUCAGUAUUGCAGAUGUUGCAGUUCAGUGUAAUGACAGUGCAGGAUAGUGUGUAUAGCAAUACAGAACUAAAAUAGUAUUUAAACUAAUCCAUAUAAUAUGGAGCUAGCAUUACAAAUUUUUACUAGAAAAUGGGUUUAAAAACUCCUGAAGUGGAGGGUCUUCUAUUUAAUCACAGGGGACUCUCAUUCAACAUUUCUAAACUGAUACUUUGAAUAAUUCACUCUAUUUUCAAAUGGUAAUCUGUUCUAGUGUUUAGUUUCUUUGCACUAUUCACCAUGAUGUCAAAUGUCGUGUGAUACCUUUUGUAAUCUUUUCUAUUGCUUGUAUUUUAUCUCAACUACGUGUCUGCUUUUAAUGUGUUAUUUAUUGUAGUGUUUUACAAUGAUCACUUUGUCUUGUUUAUUUUAAACUAGUCUUAUUUUACUGACCUUUCAUAUUUUGUCUUGUUUGGUUUGUGUGCAUCGGUUCCUAAAUUUUUGUCAGUCCCUUGUAAAGCAAUUUAAACUUUUUUUUUUUUUCAUUUAACCCUCCUGUUGUCUUCAUUUACAGGCACCAAAAACUUUGUCUAGAAAAAAAUCAGCAAAAUUCCCUGAAUUUAUAAAAUGUGCAAAACCUUCAGGAACAAAAUUCCAAUGAAGUUUCACUUCAGUUUUAGUUUUAAAAAUCCUCCAAAUAUGGGAACACUUUUGUGAACAUUUUCAAAGAGUAAAAAUCUUCCAGAGGAAUACUAAAACUCCAGUGAAAUUCACUAGAUUCAUUGGUUUUGUGUGUGAAUGUUUAACUUUUAACAUUUUCAACCAAAUGUGGAAUUUCCACUGUGAAAAUGUAUGUUUCCACAUUUUCAAACAGUAAUUGGGUCAAUUUUGACCCGCAACACAACAUGAGGCUAAAUAGUGCUUUAUGCAGUUUGUGUAAUUGAUGUUCAGAGUUCAUUGAAAUGUCUUUUAAAUGCAUUUAUUCCAUUUGUUAACUUAUAGAACAUUGUUUAGUAAAGUGACAGGUUUUUUCAUACGGCACAUUUAAACGGACAUUGAGUAUAAAUGUUUUCCAGUAGAAUUUUUUUUUUCAGUUUAAAUAUUAAGACUGAACCGAAAUUUGACCAAAUUGAAUAUUCAGGUUAAGUUCAAACACGGGCUUUAAAUGGGUGAUCGGCCAAAACAAAAAUCAAUUUGCUUGAGUCCGGAUGAGCUGCUGUUAACAUAUUCAAAACUUUAACGUUAAUUGCACUUUGCUCACAUAUUGUGUUUAAUUUCUGGCUGCUGUCGCUCUACCGGGUUUAAUUCCAACAGUUGGGUAGAGUUCUAGUUUAGGAUUUGUUUGGGAGGCCUCCCUGCAGGCGAUUGUAACCAAACGCCUUUAAAGUGUAGCAUCAGACGAAAUUUACCAACAUGGUUAGAACAGGUUUGUUUUUUAAAUCAGGGGGAGGGGGGAAGCUGGUUGGGUUGCUAGAGAGACUAAACCUGACAGAGUGACAACUUAAAGCUGACUGAUGCUAAAAUUUGGGUCGUUUUCCCUUUUUAUGGUGACAAGAACAGCAGCUACAGCCGGGAAGCUCAGACAUAUUGAAUAACGUAGUCCUAGUCUUUUCAUAACACUAAAUUGCCUGAUAUUCUUUUGCCUUUUAAGUUAACUUAUUUUAAUUGACUACAUAAGAUUGUAGGUUCUAUACCUGUGCUGUUUUAAAUGUGCUCUAUAAAUGUUGAGUAACAUCUGCAGUACUGGCUGUGAGUUUUUUUUUUUUUUUUUUUUAAAUAAAUGAACCUGACUUGAUUUUUGCUAGCAGUUCCUGUGAGAACUCCUGACGUGUAUGUUCUAGCAAGUGGAAAAACUUUGAGCAUAACUUGUGCGUCUUCAAAUCAAAUAUUCAGCCCCGCUGGCCUGCUGCAGGCUAUCGGACUUGUGAACUGUAGAGCUUGAAUGUGGUUAAAAUCACAUGAACCUUGAACUGACUGAUGGGACAAUUAACAAGCUCUACAACUUCCACAACACUCGCACUGGACUUUUACUGAUCGUUGCGUCAUCUCUGUCAAUUGAUAGACAUUCUGGCCAACGUUGGAUCUCGUGAACUGAUUGCAUUUUAAUGACCUGGGAUUUUGCCUGAGCGGAGAUCACCCUAGGUUUAGUGUCCUAAAAGUGGUAUGGACUCCCUUCACAAAAUGGAUGAGGAGAGGAACGAAGUCUGGUUGAAGAGCUGUAGGACGGAGAUGACUCCAUCGUUGGAGAUGAUCUGAGGUCUGCUGACGGGCGAAGAUGGAAGAUGACGAAGGCCUGAUGACGACACCUCUGUGACCCACUGAUGUCUCCAGAUGUCCAAUCUUGGGGAAAGAAGACCUACCUGAUCUCAGAGUGCAUCCCUUUGAUCAACUAGUGCAACUCAUUACAGGCAGGCCUCCCAGCUUGCAGGGUGAAACCUCUGGAGAUGAUCCAGAAGACAGCAGCACAUUUGGUUUUCAACCAAAAUAGCCCAUCACCCUGCUGUUCAGAUUGCUUCCAGUUGCUGCCAACAUGAAAUUCAAAACUGACACUUGCAUUCAAAAUUACAAUAAAAUGGCCCCUGCCUACUUGAAAUCUA
Molecule: long non-coding RNA, 2745 nt
Organism: Acanthochromis polyacanthus (spiny chromis)
Lineage: Eukaryota; Metazoa; Chordata; Actinopteri; Pomacentridae
Exons: 3
Source: RefSeq, a predicted model, not a curated record